This 425-nucleotide ribosomal RNA is filed under the name Galathea lepidota. RNAcentral's name for it is "partial 16S ribosomal RNA". The stretch from base 293 to 425 matches the Rfam family "Bacterial large subunit ribosomal RNA", at positions 2473 to 2606 of the family's 2925-position model. The record is from RNAcentral. Lineage: Eukaryota; Metazoa; Arthropoda; Malacostraca; Decapoda; Galatheidae.
UUUUAAUUGAAGGUUUGUAUGAAGGGUUGGACAAAGGAUAAGCUGUCUUUUUUCUUGUCUUUGAAUUUGUCUUUUAAGUGAAAAGACUUAAAUAAAUUUAAGGGACGAUAAGACCCUAUAAAUCUUUAUAUUAAAAUGCCUUAAUCUUAAUUUUUAAUGUCUACAAAGAUAAAGGCGUGAAAUAUUGUGUUGGGGUGACGAGAAUAAUUAAUAAACUGUUCUAAAUAAAAACAAAGUUGUUUGAAAAAAUAGUAGAUCCUUUUUAGAGAUUAGAAGUUUAAGUUACUUUAGGGAUAACAGCGUUAUUUUUCUUGAGAGUUCUAAUCGAAAGAAAAGUUUGCGACCUCGAUGUUGAAUUAAAAUUUCUCUAUGGUGCAGCCGUUAUGGAAGAAAGUCUGUUCGACUUUUAAAAUUUUACGUGAUCU